Pomacea canaliculata is the source of this 238-nucleotide long non-coding RNA. RefSeq lists it as uncharacterized. The record is from RefSeq and is a predicted model, not a curated record. The transcript is spliced from 3 exons. Lineage: Eukaryota; Metazoa; Mollusca; Gastropoda; Architaenioglossa; Ampullariidae.
AAGUAUUUUCGUGAAAGUGAAUGUUGAGAGAUUAGAGAAGAGACAGAAACUGAGCGAAGCAACCCGAGGCUCGAAUUCCUACCAGUGCAAGGGGCCACAGCAAGAAGUUAAAAAGGAUACUUUAAUCUCUUCUCGUCGCGGAGUGAUAUACAAAGUAAUUGUUUCAAUGGCACACCUAAACCUACAGCCACAAGAAAGAACAGACUCCCCCAAAUUAUUUUCAGGUGGCAGUGAUUUA